AUCACUAAGCGGAGGAAAAGAAACUAACAAGGAUUCCCUCAGUAACGGCGAGUGAAGCGGGAAGAGCCCAGCACCGAAUCCCCUGCCUUUUGGGUAGUGGGAACUGUGGUGUUUAGGACAGCCUUUGGGGUGGGAUCUGGUGCCCGAGUCCUCCUGAUCGGGGCCUUUCCCAUAGCGGGUGUUAGGCCUCUACUGGCACUGGUUUCCGCCUCUCUGAGCGUCCUUGGAGUCGGGUUGUUUGGGAAUGCAGCCCAAAGUGGGUGGUAAACUCCAUCUAAGGCUAAAUACUGACACGAGACCGAUAGCGGACAAGUACCGUGAGGGAAAGUU
RNAcentral lists this ribosomal RNA (330 nucleotides) under Scoletoma magnidentata. RNAcentral describes it as "partial 28S ribosomal RNA". It matches the Rfam family "Eukaryotic large subunit ribosomal RNA", at positions 42 to 365 of the family's 3401-position model. Lineage: Eukaryota; Metazoa; Annelida; Polychaeta; Eunicida; Lumbrineridae. The record is from RNAcentral.